Molecule: ribosomal RNA, 726 nt
Filed under: uncultured bacterium
Lineage: Bacteria
Description: bacterial SSU rRNA
Rfam family: Bacterial small subunit ribosomal RNA
Source: RNAcentral
AACAGGAUUAGAUACCCUGGUAGUCCACGCCCUAAACGAUGCCUACUAGUUGUCGGGGAUUAAUUUCCUUGGUAACGCAGCUAACGCGUGAAGUAGACCGCCUGGGGAGUACGGUCGCAAGAUUAAAACUCAAAGGAAUUGACGGGGACCCGCACAAGCGGUGGAUGAUGUGGAUUAAUUCGAUGCAACGCGAAAAACCUUACCUACGCUUGACAUGUCUGGAAUCCCUUGGAGACUUGGGAGUGCUCGAAAGAGAGCCAGAACACAGGUGCUGCAUGGCUGUCGUCAGCUCGUGUCGUGAGAUGUUGGGUUAAGUCCCGCAACGAGCGCAACCCUUAUCAUUAGUUGCUACGAAAGGGCACUCUAAUGAGACUGCCGGUGACAAACCGGAGGAAGGUGGGGAUGACGUCAAGUCCUCAUGGCCCUUAUGCGUAGGGCUUCACACGUCAUACAAUGGUCGGUACAGAGGGUCGCCAACCCGCGAGGGGGAGCCAAUCCCACAAAACCGAUCGUAGUCCGGAUUGCAGUCUGCAACUCGACUGCAUGAAGUCGGAAUCGCUAGUAAUCGCGGAUCAGCAUGUCGCGGUGAAUACGUUCCCGGGUCUUGUACACACCGCCCGUCACACCAUGGGAGUGGGUUUUACCAGAAGUAGGUAGCUUAACCGCAAGGAGGGCGCUUACCACGGUAGGGCUCAUGACUGGGGGUGAAAUCGUAACAAGGUAACC